ACUAUAUUGAAUUGCAAUCAAAUAGACUAUAUUGAAAUAUUUCUUUAUCACUUAUACUUAAAGCAAUACGAAAUUAUAAGGUUUUUAUGAUUAGCUUAUCAUCAAUAAAAUUGUUUAUAAAUUUGGUAUCGUUAAAAAUAAUUUUUAUCAAAGAUCGACAUAUUGACUCUAAAAUGAUAAGCGACUUGGCCAUGGGCCAAGUCGCUUAUUACUUUAGAGUCUCAGGGUUCAAUUCCAGGUCCCACAACAAUAGUUUUUCAGAAAUCCGAAUCCAGCGUCGAACUGCAUCCUUUAAUAUUCCAAUUGAUCCCAUUAUGGAUUUUUUCGCAUAUUUUAUGCCCCUUUCCAAUCAAGGAGAUUACUAAGGGGCGGGGCCAGUUCCAACCAUGGCCGCACCCG
RNAcentral lists this long non-coding RNA (399 nucleotides) under Androctonus crassicauda. Lineage: Eukaryota; Metazoa; Arthropoda; Arachnida; Scorpiones; Buthidae. The record is from RNAcentral.